UGGUGGUGAUGAUGAGGGAGACCCGAAAGAGUGAAGGUGCUUCCCAGUACACACACAGAGCCACACUCAUCAUCCCUGCCUCAGAUCUUGUCCAGCACCUUUAGGGCUGGCUGGCGUUGUGUCCUUCAGCAGCCCCAAGCAGGUGGAGAAGUGGAGAACAACCUGAGAUGUGCAGCGGGAGCUGUCCUCUGUGACCCCAGGCCAGGGAUCCCCAAACUUGGAGUCUUUGUUUCCCCAUCUGUCAAACAAGGGGAAUGAACUUUGUCACUGCUAAGCGUUGCUCCAAAGUGGGUGGGGAAGGCAGGGUCAGCCUGUUCCAAGGCUCCGGUCUGAACAGUGUCCCCAUCGUGCCCACAGACGAUGUCUCCUGAGCUUCCAGAGCCCCGAUGUGAGGGCCCGAGUGCACGGGAACAGGAAGCGCCUGAGAUGCUGGAGGAGACUGCAGCUCAAGCGCCCUCAGUGGCUCCCCGCUGCUGGUGGAUGAGUUAGCCCUCCUGGCCCAAGCUUGCGCACCAUCUGCCCUGUACCCACCACCUGGGGGCAGGAAGGUCCAGGGUGGUGGCUUUCCAACUCACGGCGAGAGGCAGUUUCGCACCCUGUUGGGGCGCACGCCCGCCACUCCCGCUGCCCUCGGUGAACUCGUGAGCCCUGCCCCUCUCCUCGACCCCUGCACUUGGCCCUCUCUCUCGCCUCUGCCUGUCGUCUUUCCCGUGUGUGGCUGAGCCUCUAGAGCCUGGCUCCAGCCCACACCGGUCAGGCUGCUGGCUCUACCUUUCCCUGCCAUUGCCCCGUCUGUGCCUCCCGGAAAGACAAGUGGUUACUCCACGGUAGCCCUCUGGUGUUCCUGGGGUCCGCAGAUGAACACCGCUCGGAACCAUCUGAAGCUCCACAGGUGUUAAUGUGGGGUGGGGGCAGCUGCGAACCCCAGGAGACGCUCAGACCAUGUGGCUGGUGCUUAUUUAGCUGCAGACAGUGCCUGCCAUAUGGGGAGAGGGACCUUGCAUUGCCAGAUGUUCCAAAUCUCCAAGAGAAGGCAUAAAUCCGGGUAUUUUUAAACACAAAAUCCCUCAGCAUUUAAAUGUUAAAACUAAUUCAAACGCAAAAAAGCACUGUGUGGGCCAAAUAAGAUCUGCCGGUGGGUGGACUAGAGCUGGCUGGUCUGUGAGCCCUGGUGAGUGGCAGGCGGAGGGAGAGGCCCACAGCAGAGCUGAGAAGGAGCAGCCGAGGUGUGGGGGACGCUGGCAGAGGCCCCCGCGCUGCCUCCCACAGGAGAGCCUCUCGGCCAGCUGCCCUAGCAGAGGCGGGCGCAUCCUGGGUGCGAGACUCUCGUGGGCUCCCCGCAGCUCCACCGCUGGGGGCCUGUGAGGCAGAGGCAGGAGUUGUGAGGGCACCGGAGCAGUCACCGGGGGCUCGGUGCUCCGUGACAUCAGCUGGCAACAGACGCAGUCGGGUGGCUCGGUGAGCCGAGUAGCCUCACAGACACUGUUCACCUGAGUGCCCAUCACGUCCCAGGCACCGCGUCCUGUUCUGGGCGGUGGAGAUGAGGAAUAAGUCUCCCAUCCGUGCAGCGGAUGGACGUUGUUCCUGGAGUGGGGGAGGCAGAGAAUACGCAAAGGAGUGACGCAGCCUCCUGAGGACACCAGAGCUGGGAGGUUGCAGAGAUGAUGAGGGACCCUGCCAAGCCUGUGACUCUCCGUCCUGCCCCCUGCAGGAGCGUCCGGAAGGUCCACAAACUGCCUGGUGGGCAGGAGUGCUGCCCCGGCUAUAGGCGGGACGCUAGGGAGAGAGGGCUUGGGGCUGGUGGGAACAGCAGAACUCCCGGGCCCUCGCCCACAGCUGCCCUGCACUCCCUGUGCGGUGCUCACCUGGGUCUCCCCCAAGUCACCCAACUGCAGCAAUGCUCUCACUCACUAGUCCUGGACGGCCGCAGUCCCCAGCACACCAUUGUGAGGCACAAGACGUUUUUAAGGUAGACAAUGGCUAAGCCAACAGACCAGGAGUUGGUGCUGUUGGAAAGAGAGGAAGCAUCCAGCAUGCAGGGACGUGUGCGGAGGCACUGCGUUGGUCAGGAGGAAGAGGGGCCCGGGAAGGGCGGGCAGGAGGCUUUGCAGGUGGGAAUUGUGUGAGGCAUGGGUCAGCACCGCAAAUAACUUCAGGCCUCUGGGCAUCAGCUGCCCCCAGAGGCUGUGAGCCAGGAGUGACCCUCAGGGAGGAAGGGCGGGUGCAGCUCAGGGUAAGGGCACCACGGUCCCCAGUGAGUUGGGCUCUGUCUUUAAGCGCCGACCAGGCCUGAGCGGGCCAGGCCCGUCCUGGACAACGAGGCCCUGAGGUGUGAACCACCAAGACGUGGCCCGAGGCAUGAAGACCACACAAGACCUGCGGCUCAGGAUCCACUGAGGACACGUGAGACGCUCGCCUCCCGUUCUUGAGUGUGGGUGGCGUGGCUCUUGUGAACGGUGCUGCUGUGAACAUGGGCGUGCAAACACCUCUCAGACCCUGCCUUCCACUAUUUCAGGCAGAGAACACCCAGAGAAGAGCAACUGAGGUGAUUUUGAGGGUUUGCAGGAAAGGCGAUCGCCAGUGUUUACACCACUUCUAGACCCCCGCAGCACGGCUAGAAAUCUCCAGAUUGUCCUAUGCCUGCAGCUGCCUCAGGCCCCGGGGAGAGCAGUGCCAGCCCCUUGGAGUCGGGCCUUGGCCGACAUAGACUUCAGCAUUCUAAAGGCUUCUGAGCACACAGCUCAGAGCCGCCGGGUCCAUUCACAUUGCUGUGCAGCCGUCACCACCGUCCACCUCCCGGACGUCAUCCAUUUUCAAGCUUAAUCACUGUAUCCAUCCAAUAGCUCCUCACACCCGCUACCUCCCCAGCUCUUCCUGCCCACUGCUCUCUCCUACCCACCACUCUCCGCCUCUGUGAGCUUGAGCACUGCGUGGACCCCAUCAACCCAGAGUCCUACAGUAUCGAGGCUGGCUUCUCUCACUCUGCCUGACGUCCUCAAGGUUCAUUCAUGCUGAGCAUGUGUCUAAUCUUCUCUCUGUUGAAGGCUUGGCACGACUGCAUGAUACGGAGUGUCAGCAUUAUAGCUUAUUCUAGAUGGCCCCCAAAGCUUCACACGCGCGUAUGUGGGGCUUUGUGGAGCUGGAUGGAUCUAGGGUGUGUGAUACUGGGGUUAAGGGUAUGUGGCACUACAUUAGGCCACUGAUUUCACUUAGCAGAGCUGUAGGUGUGGCUGAAUGGAUUUACUGGAGACAGAAGCCCCCCUCUGUAUAUGCAUGGCACCACCCAGAUGUCUUAUAGCCUGGGUGGGAUAAAAAGGAAAGAGGCUGCUGCUCA
This is a long non-coding RNA of Fukomys damarensis (Damara mole-rat), 3334 nucleotides long. RefSeq lists it as uncharacterized. Lineage: Eukaryota; Metazoa; Chordata; Mammalia; Rodentia; Bathyergidae. The record is from RefSeq and is a predicted model, not a curated record. The transcript has 3 exons.